CCGGCGGAGCGCCGGCCGGCCCCAGGGUCUCCGCGCCGGGCUCAGGCAGCCGGGGCCGCGGGACGCCCCGCGCCUCCACCGCCCCGCGAGGGCCGCGCUGCGUCCGCACGAGCCCGUCGCGCAGAGCGUCCCCGGAGGGGCUGAGCGACGAGGCGGAGGAAGCAGCGCGGCGCCGGCUGCCCCCGCCUUCCUCUCCGGCCGGCGACACACGCCCGCAGGGGCCGCAGCCGCGAGCGGAGGCCGCCGCGCUGGCUCUCGCUUCGGGCCCGUCGCUUAGGCACUCAGCGCCUCGGCUUCCCCGUCUGUGACAGGCGGCCACAGCGCCGCCCGGGGCUGGGAGCUAACCGAGCUGCUCGCCGGGAGGCGCACGCCCCGCGCCGCCGCCGGGGGAGCGGCCGAGACGCCGCGGCUGGGACCCCGCGGUGUCCGCGGUCGCCGGCCAGCGGUCAGCACGCAGUGUCUGUGCAGCCUCUGGGCGAAGCCCCGGCCGUGCAGCCCGGCUGUCCUGGCGCCGCCGUGAGAAGGUGGGGACAGACAGACACAGAGGGAAGACCACGUGAGGACACGCGGAGCAGGCGGCCAUCUGCAACCCAGGAGACGGGCCUCGGAGAAACCAAACCUGCGCCGCCUGGGUCUCGCACUCCGAGCCUCCAGACGGAGGAAACACGCGUGUUUCAGCCCGGCAGUCUGAUACUUCAUGAUGGCCACCCAGCGAAUGACGUCCCUGGCGGCGGGCUCUGCUACGCCUUUUACUUUGCCUCGCGUCCCGCUCUUGCUCGCGGUUCCCCCAUCUCAAGACCCCACAAGGCGCUGCCCUGGCAUCCUGUGCUCAGGCUCCUCUGGGCAAAGAUUCACUGUAGGGAUGUUCUCUGUGCAACUCCUGCCGGGCCUGUCCAUCUGCAGCUGCUCUCAGGCCACCAGGAAAGUUCUGGGCAGCCUCAGGCAGAGCCUAGGCCUGGUUUAGAGUGGAGUUUCCAGAUGCAUGCCACCAUCCACAGCCGCUCCAUCCUAGGGAACUCUGGGCCUGGGAUUGCCAGAUAAAGUACAGAACACCCAGUUAAAUUUGAAUUUCAGAUAAACAACAAAUAAUGUUUCAGUAUAAGUAUAUCCUAAAUAUUGCACAGGCAUCCUUAUACUAAAACAUUAUUUGUUUACCUGAAAUUCAGAUUUUACUGAGCAUCCUGGAUUUUUAUUUGCUACCCUACCAGCGUCGUGGGGAGUCCAGGGCACUCCGCAUAAAGACACUUUGAGAGAAUUUUCCUCCACAUCCUUCAGGAAAUCUGGACCAAAAGCUGGCCAGAGGCAGGAGCACCCCACAUCCCUCAGCCCUGAGCAGAAGCAGGCUUCCCAGGCCCACCUUGUCCUAACCCUGGUACCCACGAUAGCACCAGAGACUGCAAUCUCCAAGUGUCGCCGUGGAGAGCAAACAAGACACCACACGGACAACCUUAACACAGUGCCUGACAGAAAGCAAGUGCUGGAUAAAUGCUAGCGCACUGCUGCGGGAGCCUCUCCACUUCUGUUUACAUCUCCUGCCCCAACACUCUAGCACACACGAGUUCUCCUAACUGAGCCCCAGCAGUGCUCUGAAGGCCUGGAGCUAACGACAAGCUCUGUGAGCUCCAGCUCCUGGAAACUUUCCCAGGAAAAUUUGGGAUGCAGAGAUGUGGGAUAGAAGACAGAUGGCUUUGGCAUUUUGUGGUAUGGGUAGUGAAAGGUCAGUUAGCUCUGUAGGAGAGAGCUCAGUGCCGCAGGGAUCUGGCCCAUGAGAUAGUCUUCCUCACCUCUAUCACCUAACCCUCCCCAGUCCCAGGUUGUACAGAGUUCAUUGACCCCCUCCCCUACCUUCCAUGGACACUGGGCCUGGGCCCCAAACAAAGGAAUGCGUCUGGCCUCGGGGCCAAAGAUGGCCACUUCGGCCUUGACUCUAAGGCACCACUUACAAAAAAAUAUGUCCUGCGUCAUGUUCCUUGUCUAGCCUGGCCACCCGGAAGGGCACCUGACAGGACUUUAGAAACAUCCCAUCCGUAGGAACAAAAAUGGUAAAAGCACCCCAUCCGUGGGAACAAGAAGAAAUAACUCAAAAUAUCCAAAUGUCUAAAACCCUGAGUCAGAACCCAGAGAAACCUUGGGAUGAAAGGGAGUCCCAGGCAUAGGAUAAUUGGAGGUCUCCCUGAGGAAAGGACGCUUUGCCUCAGACCUGGACGAUCAGCACUCUCACCCGCUGUACAAACUAUUGGGACUUCCCUGGCUCAUUGUGGUGUGGAUGUUGUAAGUACCGAUUUGUUGUUCCCCUUUAUCCCCACUCCUUGUUCUGUUUCCCUUUAUCAAUAAACUCUGAUUGCUUAAACAACC
Molecule: long non-coding RNA, 2355 nt
Filed under: Equus caballus (horse)
Lineage: Eukaryota; Metazoa; Chordata; Mammalia; Perissodactyla; Equidae
Description: lncRNA (ENSECAG00000057224.1)
Source: RNAcentral